GUUUGAUGUUCUAACGUUGACCCGUAAUCCGGGUUGCGGACAGUGUCUGGUGGGUAGUUUGACUGGGGCGGUCUCCUCCUAAAGAGUAACGGAGGAGCACGAAGGUUGGCUAAUCCUGGUCGGACAUCAGGAGGUUAGUGCAAUGGCAUAAGCCAGCUUGACUGCGAGCGUGACGGCGCGAGCAGGUGCGAAAGCAGGUCAUAGUGAUCCGGUGGUUCUGAAUGGAAGGGCCAUCGCUCAACGGAUAAAAGGUACUCCGGGGAUAACAGGCUGAUACCGCCCAAGAGUUCAUAUCGACGGCGGUGUUUGGCACCUCGAUGUCGGCUCAUCACAUCCUGGGGCUGAAGUAGGUCCCAAGGGUAUGGCUGUUCGCCAUUUAAAGUGGUACGCGAGCUGGGUUUAGAACGUCGUGAGACAGUUCGGUCCCUAUCUGCCGUGGGCGCUGGAGAACUGAGGGGGGCUGCUCCUAGUACGAGAGGACCGGAGUGGACGCAUCACUGGUGUUCGGGUUGUCAUGCCAAUGGCACUGCCCGGUAGCUAAAUGCGGAAGAGAUAAGUGCUGAAAGCAUCUAAGCACGAAACUUGCCCCGAGAUGAGUUCUCCCUGACUCCUUGAGAGUCCUGAAGGAACGUUGAAGACGACGACGUUGAUAGGCCGGGUGUGUAAGCGCAGCGAUGCGUUGAGCUAACCGGUACUAAUGAACCGUGAGGCUUAACCUUACAACGCCGAAG
This 731-nucleotide ribosomal RNA is filed under the name Escherichia coli. RNAcentral describes it as "partial 23S ribosomal RNA". It matches the Rfam family "Bacterial large subunit ribosomal RNA", at positions 2212 to 2925 of the family's 2925-position model. The record is from RNAcentral. Lineage: Bacteria; Pseudomonadati; Pseudomonadota; Gammaproteobacteria; Enterobacterales; Enterobacteriaceae.